This 292-nucleotide ribosomal RNA is filed under the name uncultured bacterium. Its description in RNAcentral is "partial 16S ribosomal RNA". It matches the Rfam family "Bacterial small subunit ribosomal RNA", at positions 505 to 796 of the family's 1533-position model. The record is from RNAcentral.
GUGCCAGCAGCCGCGGUAAUACGUAGGGUCCAAGCGUUAAUCGGAAUUACUGGGCGUAAAGCGUGAGUAGGCGGUUUCGAAAGUCCGAUGUGAAAUCCCCGGGCUUAACCUGGGAACUGCGUUGGAAACUACGAGACUAGAGUGCGGCAGAGGGGGGUGGAAUUCCAGGUGUAGCAGUGAAAUGCGUAGAUAUCUGGAGGAACACCGAUGGCGAAGGCAGCCCCCUGGGUUAGCACUGACGCUCAUACACGAAAGCGUGGGGAGCAAACAGGAUUAGAUACCCUGGUAGUCC